Molecule: ribosomal RNA, 305 nt
Filed under: uncultured bacterium
Lineage: Bacteria
Description: bacterial SSU rRNA
Rfam family: Bacterial small subunit ribosomal RNA
Source: RNAcentral
CCUACGGGGCGCAGCAGUAGGGAAUCUUCCACAAUGGGCGAAAGCCUGAUGCAGCCAUGCCGCGUGGGUGAAGAAGGUCUUCGGAUUGUAAAACACUGUAGUUUGAGAGGAAGGGGCGUGAGUUAAUAUUUUGCUGUUUCGACGUUACCUAAACAGUAAGCCCCGGCUAACUAUGCGCCAGCAGCCGCGGUAAUACAGAGGGGGCAAGCGUUAAUCGGAAUUACUGGGCGUAAAGCGCGCGCAGGCGGUUUGUUAAGUUGGAUGUGAAAUCCCCGGGCUCAACCUGAGAACUGCAUUCAAAACUG